UUCUUAUUCGCUGACAUUUGUUUUCUAAUUGCUUGAAAUUUGGUAAUUUCCUUAGUGUUUUCCUGGCCGACCUGUGCUGGUAUUGUAAUUAAGAGCUAAUACACCUGCGGCCGAAUUUGAUUGUGUGCAUCAUCCUGCAGAUAUUUUGAA
Molecule: long non-coding RNA, 150 nt
Organism: Rhagoletis pomonella (apple maggot)
Lineage: Eukaryota; Metazoa; Arthropoda; Insecta; Diptera; Tephritidae
Exons: 3
Source: RefSeq, a predicted model, not a curated record